UAAAUUGUGAACAUUUUAUCUUGCAC
RNAcentral lists this unclassified non-coding RNA (26 nucleotides) under Mus musculus (house mouse). RNAcentral's name for it is "oocyte_clustered_small_RNA8801". The record is from RNAcentral. Lineage: Eukaryota; Metazoa; Chordata; Mammalia; Rodentia; Muridae.